This 1457-nucleotide long non-coding RNA is filed under the name Phasianus colchicus (ring-necked pheasant). Its description in RNAcentral is "lncRNA (ENSPCLG00000001951.1)". Lineage: Eukaryota; Metazoa; Chordata; Aves; Galliformes; Phasianidae. The record is from RNAcentral.
CGUGACUAUAAAAGAGUCCGCGCUGAACAGCAGCACCGACUUCGCGCUGCUGUGGCCGAGGUGUACCGCUGGUCAUGUCGUGCGGUAGUCGCGCUGCGAGCGGGACUGCGGCUGCCUCACCUUUCUGGGAGAUGCUGGCCUUGUUGGCACAGGAGCCGGGCAUGGAGUGGCUGAAGCUGGGCCUCGCCGGGCAGGCGGCUGUUGCAUUGCCGUGCACGACGCGGGCGGUGGGGCGGCCCGGCGGCUCCAGGCGGCGCGGGGAGCUCGGCGCGGCAGCGGGAGCGGGGGCUGAUGCUCCUUGGAAACACUCACUGGGACCUCAGCCUCUGAAGACAUUAUUGUUGCUGGAGCACUCGGGGGAUGUUAGGCUUUGGCAAGCCUACCUUGAGGGGCUGAAGAAAUUUCUCGCCUUUAGGAAGGACAUGGGAAUGCCUGCAACCUGGCCCAUUCCAGAGGAUCAAGUUAGGGGAUUUUUAGCUGUGGAGUCUCUUUACUCGUCCUCAAAAACAUUGAUGUAUGUGGCAGCAUUGUCUUACUUAUCAAGACUGUCUGGUAACCCUGACCCUCUGGAAGAUGCUGUAACCCGUUGGAUGGUAAUGGGGUUGAGACGUGAAGUGGGCAUCCUGAGGGAAAAAUAUGCUCCUAUAACAAUUGAGAUACUACGGUCUCUCUUAGGAGCUCUGGAAUCUGUGUGUGUUUCCCAUUAUGAAUGCUUACUGUUCCGUGCGUUGUUCACUGUGGCUUUUUUUGGUGCACUUCGGAUAGGAGAGGUGGUGGCAAAGCACCGUAAUGUACUGCAGCCUGAACUGCUCUACCUGAGGGACAUGCAGGUGACAGAAAGCAGGGUGGCGUUUCGCCUGCGUAGCUCUCCUGUCGACCAGGAGAGACCCGUCAUCAGCCUUGCUCUGUCAGGAGAGCCAUGGGUGUGCCCUGUCCUGGCCUUCCGGAGCUUUGUGGCUGUGCGUUCAAGGCUGGAAGGGCCGCUCUUUGUGCACAGGGACAACGUACCUGUAACGAAGAGGGGAUUUCUGACUGUUCUCAGAUUGGCCCUUAGGUUGCUGGGGCUGCCCCUGGAGCAGUACGGUGUGCACUCCUUCUGGCUGGGGACUAUCAUCACCGCUGCACGUUGUGGAUAUCCCAGGGAAGAUGUCACUCGCCUGGCAAGGUGGCCAUGUGUGUUCCCAGGGAAGUCAUAGCCAUGGAGACAGUAGGCAAAAGAAGUUAGUGGUUUCUUUCUGUAGGAGUUUUAACAACAUAAAUUACUGCCAAGGAGUAUAAGCUAACAUUACCAUCUGUAAUGAAUGUUCUACCUCACUGUGGAUAUGGUCUGUGAAGUUCACUUGUAUUUGUUUUCACUGUGUACUGUUGAGGGUGGGGGACUGUCGAACUUGCUGUGCCCGCAGAUGCUUUUAUCUUGCAUAACUUCAGUUAAUAAAUGCUUCCUUUUUAAAAAUGCA